This 213-nucleotide long non-coding RNA is filed under the name Dermacentor andersoni. RNAcentral's name for it is "uncharacterized LOC126530372". Lineage: Eukaryota; Metazoa; Arthropoda; Arachnida; Ixodida; Ixodidae. The record is from RNAcentral.
CCCGUUUUCUUGGGCUCCUGGCGUUCUCUUGCGUUCCGUCUGCAUUUCGACACGGCACCGCUGCACUACUGGACUACAGCGAGCUGAUGGCAUCCGGUGGAGCUUCGUACGGCAACGACUGCUGCUUACCUGGUGCCACAACUUUGGAUGAAUGCAGAAGCCCGGAACGAGCAUUUAUAUAGAGCGAAAUAAACAUUUCAUCAUUUCAGAAGA